This 636-nucleotide long non-coding RNA is filed under the name Fukomys damarensis (Damara mole-rat). RNAcentral's name for it is "lncRNA (ENSFDAG00000028628.1)". The record is from RNAcentral. Lineage: Eukaryota; Metazoa; Chordata; Mammalia; Rodentia; Bathyergidae.
CAGGCACCUGUAAGUGCUCAGCCCAGAUUCUGCGUCUGGCCAGGCCUGCUUGCUGCCCCUCUGCAAACAGGUGUUAAUCUCUAGGAAGUUACCUGAUCAACUUCCUGUUGCUCAUUUCCGUCUUAUUCGGCUUCCCAGGGAACCAACUUGCAAUACAAGUCUCUGCGUUAUCUUUUCCUUGGCCCUAAGACCUCAGAAACCCUGAACCACCCAGGUUCCCAGAGAAGCCUCCAUCCUGACCCGAGGCCUGGGGUUUCUUUUAGGAGGCGGGAGCAGAACGUAAGAACCCAGGAAGCUGUGCCUCCGGGACUGGAGGGGGAGCGCCUGCCCACCAGGGGGCAGUGUCCACCCGCGUGUGAACAGCGCCGGCGGCCCGGAGGUGAACAGCAGCGUUGCCCUGAUGCGAGGGACCCUGCGUGCGCGUGGACAUGCUUGUACCAGGAUGAUCAAAAUGCCUUCAUGAGGAGGAGUGGACUGGGGGCUCCAGUGGGAUGUCAGAGAAGCAUCUGUAGAGAAUUUGGAGAUGGACUGAAGACCCAGAACCAACCUAGUCACUCAUCUGCAUUGUCAGCUUGGGUAAGUUGUACCUUUUCUCUGGAAUUCAGUUUCUCAAUGUGUAACAUGAAAAGUUGUGCC